RNAcentral lists this ribosomal RNA (292 nucleotides) under uncultured bacterium. Its description in RNAcentral is "partial 16S ribosomal RNA". It matches the Rfam family "Bacterial small subunit ribosomal RNA", at positions 505 to 796 of the family's 1533-position model. The record is from RNAcentral.
GUGUCAGCAGCCGCGGUAAAACGUAGGAAGCAAGCGUUAUCCGGAUUUACUGGGCGUAAAGGGCAGGCAGGCGGUUGGUUAAGUCCUAUUUGAAAGCUCCCGGCUCAACUGGGAGAGGUGGUAGGAAACUGGCCGACUAGAGGAUGGUAGAGGAGAGUGGAAUUCCCGGUGUAGUGGUGAAAUGCGUAGAUAUCGGGAGGAACACCAGUGGCGAAAGCGGCUCUCUGGGCCAUUACUGACGCUCAACUGCGAAAGCCAGGGGAGAGAACGGGAUUAGAAACCCGCGUAGUCC